RNAcentral lists this ribosomal RNA (253 nucleotides) under uncultured bacterium. RNAcentral describes it as "partial 16S ribosomal RNA". It matches the Rfam family "Bacterial small subunit ribosomal RNA", at positions 524 to 776 of the family's 1533-position model. The record is from RNAcentral.
UACGUAGGGUGCUAGCGUUAAUCGGAAUUACUGGGCGUAAAGUGUGCGCAGGCGGCCGCGCAAGUCGAGUGUGAAAUCCCCGAGCUUAACUUGGGAAUUGCGCUCGAAACUACGUGGCUGGAGUGUGGCAGAGGAAGGUGGAAUUCCACGUGUAGCGGUGAAAUGCGUAGAUAUGUGGAGGAACACCGAUGGCGAAGGCAGCCUUCUGGGCCAACACUGACGCUCAUGCACGAAAGCGUGGGGAGCAAACAGG